CACGGGGGAGCAAGCGUUGUUCGGAAUCACUGGGCGUAAAGGGCGUGUAGGCGGUCAGGUAAGUGGGAUGUGAAAUGCCCCGGCUCACCCGGGGACCGGCAUCCCAAACUGCCUGGCUUGAGUAUGGGAGAGGAUGAGGGAAUUCCUGGUGUAGCGGUGAAAUGCGUAGAUAUCAGGAGGAACACCGGUGGCGAAGGCGCUCAUCUGGCCCAAUACUGACGCUGAGGCGCG
RNAcentral lists this ribosomal RNA (231 nucleotides) under uncultured bacterium. Its description in RNAcentral is "partial 16S ribosomal RNA". It matches the Rfam family "Bacterial small subunit ribosomal RNA", at positions 524 to 755 of the family's 1533-position model. The record is from RNAcentral.